GGGGCGAGCAAGCGUUGUUCGGAUUUACUGGGCGUAAAGGGCGCGUMSGCGGCCAGCACAAGUCAGUUGUGAAAUCUCCGAGCUUAACUCGGAACGGUCAACUGAUACUGUGCGGCUAGAGUGCGGAAGGGGCAACUGGAAUUCUUGGUGUAGCGGUGAAAUGCGUAGAUAUCAAGAGGAACACCUGCGGCGAAGGCGGGUUGCUGGGCCGACACUGACGCUGAGGCGCGAAAGCUAGGGGAGCGAACGGGAUUAGAUACCCCGGUAGUCCUAGCCUUAAACGAUGAAUGCUUGGUGUCUGGGGUUAUAAAGUCCCCGGGUGCCGUCGCUAACGCUUUAAGCAUUCCGCCUGGGGAGUACGGUCGCAAGACUG
RNAcentral lists this ribosomal RNA (373 nucleotides) under uncultured bacterium. RNAcentral's name for it is "bacterial SSU rRNA". It matches the Rfam family "Bacterial small subunit ribosomal RNA", at positions 527 to 896 of the family's 1533-position model. The record is from RNAcentral.